RNAcentral lists this unclassified non-coding RNA (1134 nucleotides) under Hevea brasiliensis (rubber tree). Lineage: Eukaryota; Viridiplantae; Streptophyta; Magnoliopsida; Malpighiales; Euphorbiaceae. The record is from RNAcentral.
AUAUUAAAAUGAAUAGCUUGAGGUACUUAGUUAUUGCCAUUUUAUAUGAACUUUUAAGUUUUUUCUUGAGGUGUUCUGUAUUGAGAUAUAAGUACAUGGAAGCUUUAGGUUCUGUUUUCUAACAUGGAACCAGAUGUUAGAGACUCUAGAAAAUUAAGUUUUAUAGGAUGUCUGUGUUUUCUGACAUAAAAGCCCUAUGCAUGCAUAGAUGUGAAUUGCCAUCAUGACUGACUUUGGCCCUUUGUUAUGGGAGAUGGAAAUGGUAUGUGUACAUUUAAUCCAUGUAAUUGUUACGUGAAAUUCAACAUCCAUUAAUUUCUAGAACUUAAACAAAUUGAAUAAAGUAUCUGAGAAUCUCCUGCAAUCUUGAUUUGUGAUCUCAAUGAUAUCUAGCUCAAUAAGCUGUGUGAGUGAUAGCUUUCUUUUGAUUUUUGCUAUAUUUAUUUUGUUAAUGUUGGAGUUCUUAUAUACUUGAGUUUUGUUGUGUAGCAAAAUAUGAUCAUGCUGUCUUGAAUUCACUGUUUGGGUGGUGGCAAAGGUAGAAUGGCUUGGGGCUGGAUUUUGGUUUAAAUCUAAGAUAUAUUGAAAUUGAAUUAUGGUAUAUUUGCUAUCAUGAUUGUUACCUCGAAUUUUCCUGAAAGCAAACUUGCCAAAAAAAUGCUUAACGUUUAUGUAGUUAGCGAGGUUCUUGAUAUUUGCAUAAUGUAAAUAAUGCUAAUUUGUCCUGACUUGCAAGAUUUAAUGCAUUACCGAAAACUGAUUGAGAAAGCUCUCAAGUGAUGAUCCCUUGAGUAAAUCACUUACUUUUUUUGCGCUUGGUUUCCAUAUCUAUAUUUUCCACUUUUAUUUACUUGAGAAUGCCUAUGUUUUUUUUUUGGCCAGUUGCAUGUUUACUUUCUAUUUUCCAUAUUUCAUAAUUAAGCAUGCAAGUCGACAAUUAUGACCUACCAUUGAAGAUUUUAUCUUUUUAGCAUCCACUCUAUUCACUCAAUAGUUUUAAAUAAUAGCCAUUACGUUAUUUACAGGUUUUUGAGGGUACUGUUACUGAUAUCCUCUUUAAAUAAUGGUGGAAAUAAUUUGUAAUUAGCAACGAUCAUUACUUGACGGGUAACGGUGUUACCCACAUGGGCAGAU